GAUGAACGCUGGCGGCAUGCUUUACACAUGCAAGUCGAACGGUAACAGGCCUUCGGGCGCUGACGAGUGGCGAACGGGUGAGUAAUGCAUCGGAACGUGCCCAGUCGUGGGGGAUAACGCAGCGAAAGCUGUGCUAAUACCGCAUACGACCUGUGGAUGAAAGCGGGGGACCUUCGGGCCUCGCGCGAUUGGAGCGGCCGAUGUCAGAUUAGGUAGUUGGUGGGGUAAAGGCCCACCAAGCCGACGAUCUGUAGCUGGUCUGAGAGGACGACCAGCCACACUGGGACUGAGACACGGCCCAGACUCCUACGGGAGGCAGCAGUGGGGAAUUUUGGACAAUGGGCGCAAGCCUGAUCCAGCAAUGCCGCGUGCAGGAAGAAGGCCUUCGGGUUGUAAACUGCUUUUGUACGGAGCGAAAAGGCUCCCUCUAAUACAGGGGGCUCAUGACGGUACCGUAAGAAUAAGCACCGGCUAACUACGUGCCAGCAGCCGCCGUAA
RNAcentral lists this ribosomal RNA (498 nucleotides) under uncultured bacterium. RNAcentral's name for it is "partial 16S ribosomal RNA". It matches the Rfam family "Bacterial small subunit ribosomal RNA", at positions 28 to 523 of the family's 1533-position model. The record is from RNAcentral.